This 232-nucleotide long non-coding RNA is filed under the name Elaeis guineensis (African oil palm). RNAcentral's name for it is "long non-coding RNA (EGUI_LNC003273)". Lineage: Eukaryota; Viridiplantae; Streptophyta; Magnoliopsida; Arecales; Arecaceae. The record is from RNAcentral.
GUUCAGAUUUUUCUCUGAAAAUUUGCCUAGGACUGUCUCUUUACUCAGACACUUCUCAGGGAGAGGGGCAUGGAGGUUCAACCAGUGUAUCCGAUCUGUGGCAUGGAGUAUGAGUCUGUGAAGCAUACUAUCCUGCGAUGCCCUAGGGCAAAGAUUAUUUGGAGACAGACGGGCAGUUUUCCAUAGGAGGCAAGUACGUACUGACCCCUAGUUGAUUUCUAUCUUUGGCUUG